This 501-nucleotide ribosomal RNA is filed under the name uncultured bacterium. RNAcentral's name for it is "partial 16S ribosomal RNA". It matches the Rfam family "Bacterial small subunit ribosomal RNA", at positions 30 to 523 of the family's 1533-position model. The record is from RNAcentral.
AUUGAACGCUGGCGGCAGGCUUAACACAUGCAAGUCGAGCGGAGAGAGGUAGCUUGCUACUGAUCUUAGCGGCGGACGGGUGAGUAAUGCUUAGGAAUCUGCCUAUUAGUGGGGGACAACAUUUCGAAAGGAAUACUAAUACCGCAUACGUCCUACGGGAGAAAGCAGGGGAUCUUCGGACCUUGCGCUAAUAGAUGAGCCUAGGUCGGAUUAGCUAGUUGGUGGGGUAAAGGCCUACCAAGGCGACGAUCUGUAGCGGGUCUGAGAGGAUGAUCCGCCAAACUGGGACUGAGACACGGCCCAGACUCCUACGGGAGGCAGCAGUGGGGAAUAUUGGACAAUGGGCGGAAGCCUGAUCCAGCCAUGCCGCGUGUGUGAAGAAGGCCUUAUGAUUGUAAAGCACUUUAAGCGAGGAGGAGGCUACUUUAGUUAAUACCUAGAGAUAGUGGACGUUACUCGCAGAAUAAGCACCGGCUAACUCUGUGCCAGCCGCCGCGGUAA